CGAUCCGCGGCGGGAGAGUCCUGCGAACGGGUAUUACGCAGGCGCCGUAGGAGCAAAACCUCCCCAGGAAUCUCUCAGGCCCCCGUACCGCCGCUCCGAG
Molecule: non-coding RNA, 100 nt
Filed under: Arthrobacter woluwensis
Lineage: Bacteria; Bacillati; Actinomycetota; Actinomycetes; Micrococcales; Micrococcaceae
Description: Glycine sequence
Rfam family: Glycine riboswitch aptamer
About the family: This family represents the bacterial glycine riboswitch. Glycine riboswitches usually consist of two metabolite-binding aptamers domains with similar structures in tandem.
Source: Rfam by way of RNAcentral